GCCCAGUUUUUUGUAGUUAACUACCAUGUUCGUUAACUACUGACAUGAUUAUUAUAGUGACACAUGUCUCACUAUCAGUAAUCCACUUCAUAUUUUUUUUUAAAUAAGAAAAAUAAUUAAAAAUAAAUUUAUAUAAUAAAAAAGGAAAAUAUCUAAUUAAUUAAAAAAAUCAAAAACCUUUUUUUUUUUUCUUUCUUUUUUUUCUCUCCCCUUCUGAUCGUCCCACUUUCUUUUUCUUUUCUUUUUUUUCUCUCUCCUUCGAUCUAGUCCCCCGACUUCUUCUUCUUCUUGUGGACUGCACUUAUCGGACCUCUGCAAAUCACUCAACCCUAUAAGAUUAAACCUGAGAAAUUUCACCUCUCUUUGAUCGUCAAUGGAGAGCUUAUGCCGGCGACGACUGCAGCACGACGGACAUGGUAGUUCAAUCGAGAACUAUGACGUCGGGAGGUUAAGGUCGACGAAUAGAUCUUGAAGAGUGAUUUUUUUUGUGUUGAUCUUGAGAUUUGUGGGUUUCAACAAAUCUUGGAGGGUGGACAAACUUGGGUUUGGAAUGGCAAUGCACCUGUUUGAAUUUGGGUUCUUUAAUGUUGCAGCUCUUGGGUUUUUACAGGUUCUGCUGAAUCUGUUUGAAUCUGCAACUUAUGGGUUAUUAAUUUUGAAUGUUUUAAUUCUGGGUUCAUAUCUGUCUUUUUGUCAUGGGCUUUAGAUUUGUGGGUUUCAGCAGAUCUUGGAGGGUUGAUGAACUUGGAUUUGAGGCGAUGCACCUGUUUGAAUCUGGGCUAUUUAAUGUUGCAACUCUUGGGUUUUUACACAAUCUGAUGAAUCUAUUUGAAUCAGCAACUUAUGGGCUCUUUAAUGCUUUUGAGUUUAAACCUAUUUUCAAUAUGAUGUUUGAGGGUUAAUCGAACGAUGGCACAGAGUCAUGAGUUAGUUGGAGGCUUUGGGUGUUAAAGGGUGCGGAAUGUCUGUAACCACAUUGAUUAGUUGAUUUGUAUAGAAUUAUAAAUUGAUAGUU
This is a long non-coding RNA of Humulus lupulus (European hop), 1015 nucleotides long. RefSeq lists it as uncharacterized. NCBI's taxonomy places the organism in Eukaryota, Viridiplantae, Streptophyta, Magnoliopsida, Rosales, Cannabaceae. The record is from RefSeq and is a predicted model, not a curated record. The transcript has 2 exons.